UUCAAUGGAUGUGACGAUUAUGUCAAACUG
RNAcentral lists this non-coding RNA (30 nucleotides) under Mus musculus (house mouse). Lineage: Eukaryota; Metazoa; Chordata; Mammalia; Rodentia; Muridae. The record is from RNAcentral.